Molecule: long non-coding RNA, 1103 nt
Organism: Rhinichthys klamathensis goyatoka
Lineage: Eukaryota; Metazoa; Chordata; Actinopteri; Cypriniformes; Leuciscidae
Exons: 2
Source: RefSeq, a predicted model, not a curated record
AUGUGAGUCAGAUGUGGGCAAGAUCCGGGCCAGAUCUGGGUCAGAUGUGGGCCAGAUCGGGGCUAGAUGUGGGUCAGAUGUGGGCUAGAUGUGGGCCAGAUCCGGGCUAGAUGUGGGCCAGAUCCGGGUCAGAUGUGGGCUAGAUGUGGGUCAGAUGUGGGCUAGAUGUGGGCCAGAUCCGGGCUAGAUGUGGGUCAGAUGUGGGUUAGAUGUGGGCCAGAUCCGGGUCAGAUGUGGGCUAGAUGUGGGCUAGAUGUGGGUUAGAUGUGAGCCAGAUCCGGGUCAGAUGUGGGCCAGAUGUGGGUCAGAUGUGGGUCAGAUGUGGGCUAGAUGUGGGCUAGAUGUGGGUCAGAUGUGGGUUAGAUGUGAGCCAGAUCCAGGUCAGAUGCGGGUCAGAUGUGGGCCAGAUGUGGGCUAGAUGUGGGUCAGAUGUGGGUUAGAUGUGGGCUUUCUGUACAACGGAAGUGUGCGGUGAUUUAUCCUGCCAAAUAUAGUGCACGAGUUUAUGAUACUUAUAUGCUUCUUUUGUUUAUCCUUUUUGGUAUUUGGCUUAUUAAUCACUGUCCACUUUCUCUGUGCGGUAAAAACACAAUCUGUUGUGUUUCAUGGGAGAACAAAAAUAAUACAUGGCAAAAACAAGAGGGUGAGUAAACCUAUAACUAUUUUAGGAAUAAUUCACCAAAUUUAUAAAAAUCAGUUUAAUUCUCCCAGAAAGAAAUGCAUUAAAGUUGUUGAACGUGGUCAUGAUCAAACUUUUCCCCCAACUCUCUUCAUCAAUGUUUAUUUUAGAUCCGUUGUGAAGUGAAAUCUGUGGUGGAUCACUGUUUUGGAUCUCCAAGAUCCCAUCAUGAUGUUUCCAGAUCACAAAACACACCUCACAUACUUAGAAACACAUGAGAAGCUCAAGACCGUAAUGUAUAAUUUUGCGUUGUUUGAUUCAGUCGGUGUACACCUGAUUCUGGUCUGUACCGUCUCAUACGUGUCGAUCUCUCUUUUUUUCCCCUUGAAUGUCCAUUACACAUUUAUUUUGUGCAUUGUAUGUAGUAAAUGACAUGUUUUGGAAAAAAAAUCACAAAUAAACAGCUGUAUAUACUGAUGCAUAA